ACACGUAGGUGGCAAGCGUUGUCCGGAAUUAUUGGGCGUAAAGCGUGCGCAGGUGGUUCCUUAAGUCUGAUGUGAAAGCCCCCGGCUCAACCGGGGAGGGUCAUUGGAAACUGGGGAACUUGAGUGCAGAAGAGGAUAGUGGAAUUCCAAGUGUAGCGGUGAAAUGCGUAGAGAUUUGGAGGAACACCAGUGGCGAAGGCGACGGUCUGGUCUGUAACUGACACGGAGGCGCGAAAGCGUGGGGAGCAAACAGGAUUAGGUACCCUGGUAGUCCACGCCGUAAACGAUGAGUGCUAAGUGUUGGGGGGUUUCCGCCCCUCAGUGCUGCAGCUAACGCAUUAAGCACUCCGCCUGGGGAGUACGGUCGCAAGACUGAAACUCAAAUGAAUUGGCGGGG
RNAcentral lists this ribosomal RNA (397 nucleotides) under uncultured bacterium. RNAcentral's name for it is "partial 16S ribosomal RNA". It matches the Rfam family "Bacterial small subunit ribosomal RNA", at positions 523 to 918 of the family's 1533-position model. The record is from RNAcentral.